GAGUUUGAUUAUGGCUCAGAGUGAACGCUGGCGGCGUGCCUAAUACAUGCAAGUCGAACGGACAAGUAAGAGCUUGCUCUUAUGAGUUAGUGGCGCACGGGUGAGUAAUGUAUAGCUAAUCUGCCCUACACUAGAGGACAACAGUUGGAAACGACUGCUAAUACUCUAUACUCCUUCUUUACAUAAGUUGAGUCGGGAAAGUUUUUCGGUGUAGGAUGAGGCUAUAUCGUAUCAGCUAGUUGGUAAGGUAAUGGCUUACCAAGGCUAUGACGCGUAACUGGUCUGAGAGGAUGAUCAGUCACACUGGAACUGAGACACGGUCCAGACUCCUACGGGAGGCAGCAGUAGGGAAUAUUGCUCAAUGGGGGAAACCCUGAAGCAGCAACGCCGCGUGGAGGAUGACACUUUUCGGAGGCGUAAACUCCUUUUCUUGGGAAAGAAUUAUGACGUACCCAGGNNGCC
This 462-nucleotide ribosomal RNA is filed under the name Campylobacter sp. canine oral taxon 283. Its description in RNAcentral is "bacterial SSU rRNA". It matches the Rfam family "Bacterial small subunit ribosomal RNA", at positions 9 to 488 of the family's 1533-position model. The record is from RNAcentral. Lineage: Bacteria; Pseudomonadati; Campylobacterota; Epsilonproteobacteria; Campylobacterales; Campylobacteraceae.